UCCUCCCUCAGCCUCCCAAGUAGCUGGCAUUACAGGUGUGUGCCAUCACGCCCAGCUAAUUUUUGUAUUUUUAGUAGAGACAGGGUUUCACCAUGUUGGCCAGACUGGUUACGAACUCCUGACCUCAAGUGAUCCACCUGCCUCGGCCUCCCAAAGUGCUGGGAUUACAGGCGUGAGCCACCACACCUGGCCAGAAAAGCCUUUUAAUCCCUGGGCAGACAUCAAGCUCAUGGUGACAGGUGCAACUUUCCAAAAUGCUAAUUUUUACUGAAAGCUCACUUUUAUCACUGGCAACAAAUAUUGUCUGCUGUUUUCCUCACAUGACAGGCUCACUUUGUUUCAAUUUUCCAAAAAGUAAUAUAGAGAGUCCAUGUUUCAGUUAUAAUUCCUUUUUUUUUUUUUUUAAGAUGGACUUUCACUGUCACCCAGGCUGGAGUACAGUGGUAUAAUCUCGGCCCACUGCAACCUUCGCCUCCCAGGUUCAAGCGAUUCUCCUCCCUCAGCCUCCUGAGUAGCUGGAAUUACAGGCACCCACCAGCAUGCACAGCUAAUUUUUGUAUUUUUAGUAGAGACGAGGUUUCACUAUGUUGGCCAGGCUGGUCUUGAGCUCCUGACCUCAAGUGAUCCACCCUCCUCGG
This 638-nucleotide long non-coding RNA is filed under the name Pan troglodytes (chimpanzee). Its description in RNAcentral is "long non-coding RNA NONPTRT002065". The record is from RNAcentral. Lineage: Eukaryota; Metazoa; Chordata; Mammalia; Primates; Hominidae.